GCUGUCCUUAGUACGAGAGGACCGGGAUGGACGCACCGCUGGUGUAACCAGUUGUUCCGCCAGGAGCAUAGCUGGGUAGCUAUGUGCGGAAGGGAUAAGCGCUGAAAGCAUCUAAGCGUGAAGCCCCCCUCAAGAUGAGAGUUCCCAAUUAGUAAGACCCCUUGAAGACGACGAGGUAGAUAGGUUGGAGGUGGAAGCACAGCAAUGUGUGGAGCUGACCAAUACUAAUCGGUCGAGGGCUUAUCCUA
This 248-nucleotide ribosomal RNA is filed under the name Paenibacillus sp. KS1. RNAcentral describes it as "Bacterial large subunit ribosomal RNA". It matches the Rfam family "Bacterial large subunit ribosomal RNA", at positions 2671 to 2925 of the family's 2925-position model. Lineage: Bacteria; Bacillati; Bacillota; Bacilli; Caryophanales; Paenibacillaceae. The record is from Rfam by way of RNAcentral.